UCGGUGUUCUCUAAGGCUUUA
Caenorhabditis elegans is the source of this 21-nucleotide non-coding RNA. The record is from Ensembl. NCBI's taxonomy places the organism in Eukaryota, Metazoa, Nematoda, Chromadorea, Rhabditida, Rhabditidae.